Molecule: ribosomal RNA, 511 nt
Filed under: uncultured archaeon
Lineage: Archaea
Description: bacterial SSU rRNA
Rfam family: Archaeal small subunit ribosomal RNA
Source: RNAcentral
ACCUCUGCAAUAGGCGAAAGCUUGACAGGGUUACUCUGAGUGAUUUCCGCUAAGGAGAUCUUUUGACACCUCUAAAAAUGGUGUAGAAUAAGGGGUGGGCAAGUCUGGUGUCAGCCGCCGCGGUAAUACCAGCACCCCGAGUGGUCGGGACGAUUAUUGGGCCUAAAGCAUCCGUAGCCGGUCCUACAAGUCUUCCGUUAAAUCCACCUGCUCAACAGAUGGGCUGCGGAAGAUACUAUAGGGCUAGGAGGCGGGAGAGGCAAGCGGUACUCAGUGGGUAGGGGUAAAAUCCUCUGAUCCAUUGAAGACCACCAGUGGCGAAGGCGGCUUGCCAGAACGCGCUCGACGGUGAGGGAUGAAAGCUGGGGGAGCAAACCGGAUUAGAUACCCGGGUAGUCCCAGCUGUAAACGAUGCAGACUCGGUGAUGGGUUGGCCUUGUGCCAACCCAGUGCCGCAGGGAAGCCGUUAAGUCUGCCGCCUGGGGAGUACGGUCGCAAGACUGAAACUUAA